Molecule: ribosomal RNA, 228 nt
Filed under: uncultured microorganism
Description: partial 16S ribosomal RNA
Rfam family: Bacterial small subunit ribosomal RNA
Source: RNAcentral
GAGUUUGAUCCUGGCUCAGAUUGAACGCUGGCGGCAUGCCUUACACAUGCAAGUCGAACGGCAGCACGGGAGCUUGCUCCUGGUGGCGAGUGGCGAACGGGUGAGUAAUAUAUCGGAACGUACCCUAGAGUGGGGGAUAACGCAGCGAAAGUUGCGCUAAUACCGCAUACGAUCUUACGGAUGAAAGUGGGGAUCGCAAGACCUCAUGCUCAUGGAGCGGCCGAUAUC